UAAGGAAUAUUGGUCAAUGGACGCAAGUCUGAACCAGCCAUGCCGCGUGAAGGAUGAAGGUCCUCUGGAUUGUAAACUUCUUUUAUCUGGGACGAAAACGGGAUUUUUAUCUCAAUUGACGGUACCAGAGGAAUAAGCACCGGCUAACUCCGUGCCAGCAGCCGCGGUAAUACGGAGGGUGCGAGCGUUAUCCGGAUUUACGGGGUUUAAAGGGUGCGUAGGUGGGCUUAUAAGUCAGUGGUGAAAUCUCCGAGCUUAACUUGGAAACUGCCGUUGAUACUAGAGGUCUUGAAUUGUCUGGAGGUGAGCGGAAUAUGUCAUGUAGCGGUGAAAUGCUUAGAUAUGACAUAGAACACCAAUUGCGAAGGCAGCUUACUACAUAUAAAUUGACGCUGAGGCACGAAAGCGUGGGG
RNAcentral lists this ribosomal RNA (413 nucleotides) under uncultured bacterium. RNAcentral describes it as "bacterial SSU rRNA". It matches the Rfam family "Bacterial small subunit ribosomal RNA", at positions 355 to 766 of the family's 1533-position model. The record is from RNAcentral.